This 766-nucleotide long non-coding RNA is filed under the name Brassica napus (rape). Its description in RNAcentral is "long non-coding RNA (BNAP_LNC010714)". Lineage: Eukaryota; Viridiplantae; Streptophyta; Magnoliopsida; Brassicales; Brassicaceae. The record is from RNAcentral.
CAGAGGCGACAGCGACGAGUAGGAGACGAGACGAAGGCAGUGAGAGAGAGGCGGUGAAGGCGGCGACGAGAACGAGACAAGGACGAGACAGAAACGAGACGGAGGCAGGGAUUUCAGUUGAGGGUUGGAUCCGAAACAUAAAGCUAUGUUAUUGAUGACUGUGUAGAAUUUCCAUGAAUUUACUCUUGAAUUUACAGAAGAACCGUGAAAAAUACAAAGGAGGAAAAUGAAUGUGAUUUUAUCCAAAAUAAAGAAUCUGGGCCGUCGAUUUAAAGAGUACAAAAGAAAAUUUAAUGGUUAGGAUAUGAGACAGGUACAAAUCUUGUCAAAGAUUUCAAAAUUAAUCUGAACCGUUGAGAUGGCAGAGAGAUGUGGAGUGGAGGUUUAUUCCCGCUAAAAUAAUGGUUAGGUUAGUCAGUGAGUUAGUUACAAAAUAACUAGUUUAUUUAGGCAAAAAGGAAGCUGUUAGGAUAAACUACUUUGGUAGAAGAAAGUGUUUUUUGGGUUAUAAAAAACUCAAAACUGCAUUUGAGCGUAAUUAUUUCAUGUUAAUAUAUGUAUACAUUGUAGAAAUAUUAAAGACGAAGCAAUAUGUUUAGUUAAGGGAUCGCUUAUCCUUGCAUCAGAAGGAAGAAGCUAGAUAUCAUUGAUAUAAUGAGUUUUCCAACCAUUACAUUUACACGUGAACGAGUAGCUUUUUUAUUUGAUGUAUGACCUUUCUUGAUUGCAUAAAAUGUUUGAUAAUAAUAAUAUUAAGUUGUUUGAU